This 398-nucleotide ribosomal RNA is filed under the name Salmonella enterica subsp. enterica serovar Paratyphi B var. L(+) tartrate +. Its description in RNAcentral is "bacterial SSU rRNA". It matches the Rfam family "Bacterial small subunit ribosomal RNA", at positions 1114 to 1512 of the family's 1533-position model. The record is from RNAcentral. Lineage: Bacteria; Pseudomonadati; Pseudomonadota; Gammaproteobacteria; Enterobacterales; Enterobacteriaceae.
GUUGCCAGCGAUUAGGUCGGGAACUCAAAGGAGACUGCCAGUGAUAAACUGGAGGAAGGUGGGGAUGACGUCAAGUCAUCAUGGCCCUUACGACCAGGGCUACACACGUGCUACAAUGGCGCAUACAAAGAGAAGCGACCUCGCGAGAGCAAGCGGACCUCAUAAAGUGCGUCGUAGUCCGGAUUGGAGUCUGCAACUCGACUCCAUGAAGUCGGAAUCGCUAGUAAUCGUGGAUCAGAAUGCCACGGUGAAUACGUUCCCGGGCCUUGUACACACCGCCCGUCACACCAUGGGAGUGGGUUGCAAAAGAAGUAGGUAGCUUAACCUUCGGGAGGGCGCUUACCACUUUGUGAUUCAUGACUGGGGUGAAGUCGUAACAAGGUAACCGUAGGGGAACC